This 334-nucleotide ribosomal RNA is filed under the name uncultured bacterium. RNAcentral describes it as "bacterial SSU rRNA". It matches the Rfam family "Bacterial small subunit ribosomal RNA", at positions 496 to 829 of the family's 1533-position model. The record is from RNAcentral.
ACGUAUUACGUGCCAGCAGUCGCGGUAAUACGUAGGGUGCGAGCGUUAAUCGGAAUUACUGGGCGUAAAGCGUGCGCAGGCGGUUUUGUAAGACAGGCGUGAAAUCCCCGGGCUCAACCUGGGAACUGCGUUUGUGACUGCAAAGCUAGAGUACGGCAGAGGGGGGUGGAAUUCCACGUGUAGCAGUGAAAUGCGUAGAGAUGUGGAGGAACACCAAUGGCGAAGGCAGCCCCCUGGGUCGAUACUGACGCUCAUGCACGAAAGCGUGGGUAGCAAACAGAAUUAGAUACCCUGGUAGUCCACGCCCUAAACGAUGUCAACUAGGUGUUGCGGG